Molecule: ribosomal RNA, 331 nt
Filed under: Boletus edulis
Lineage: Eukaryota; Fungi; Basidiomycota; Agaricomycetes; Boletales; Boletaceae
Description: eukaryotic LSU rRNA
Rfam family: Eukaryotic large subunit ribosomal RNA
Source: RNAcentral
GCAUAUCAAUAAGCGGAGGAAAAGAAACUAACAAGGAUUCCCCUAGUAACUGCGAGUGAAGCGGGAAAAGCUCAAAUUUUGAAUCUGGCAGUCUUUGCAGGCCGUCCGAGUUGUAAUCUAGAGAAGCGUCUUCCGCGCCGGCCUGUGUACAAGUCUCCUGGAAGGGAGCGUCAUAGAGGGUGAGAAUCCCGUCUCUGACACGGACCACCGGUGCUAUGUGAUGCGCUCUCGACGAGUCGAGUUGUUUGGGAAUGCAGCUCAAAAAGGGUGGUAAACUCCAUCUAAAGCUAAAUAUUGGCGAGAGACCGAUAGCGAACAAGUACCGUGAGGA